Long non-coding RNA from Selaginella moellendorffii, 1530 nucleotides. RefSeq lists it as uncharacterized. NCBI's taxonomy places the organism in Eukaryota, Viridiplantae, Streptophyta, Lycopodiopsida, Selaginellales, Selaginellaceae. The transcript has 12 exons. The record is from RefSeq and is a predicted model, not a curated record.
UAUUGCCGCAUUGAUGUCCAAAACCCUCUUGAGAGAGAGAGAGAGAGAGAGAGGUCGGUCAUCUUGAGGUGAACGACUUGUGGGUCUUUCUCUCGAAUGGAUCGGUUCGUCAGUGCCCAGGCUCCUUGUCUCUCGGUAGGAGGGCCUCCCUCUCAAGUGGGCUUCUAGUUUCCGGCAAACUAAGUGCUCAGGUAUGCUCUCGCAAUACGUCUCAACGAGAAUGACUCCAAAGAAGGCGGUGGUAACUUUUUGAAGCUAGCGGGAGUGACUGGAAGUGCUACUGCUCUUAGCAAAGUCUUGGGAUUAGUUCGUGAGCUUGUUCUUGCUGCUGUAUUUGGUGUUGGUCCUGUCGUAGAUGCGUUCGGAUAUGCGUCCAUUGUACCAGGAUUUUUUCUGAUAAUCCUUGGAGGAAUCAAUGGACCAAUCCACAUAACAAUGGUAUCGGCCUUAAGAUAUCUUUGAGCCUUGGCAUUCUCAUGUACACAUUAGCGGCUUUUCUUAUUGAUGCAAUCGCACCAGGAUUGUUAUUGAAAACAAGCGGUGGAUUGAUCACGAGAAGCAUGGCUAUACUUCAGCUGAGAAUCACGGCGCCUUGUGUAACACUCGCGUGCUUGAUGGGAAUCGGCUGUGGAAGUUUUGACCGAGCUUUCACGUCCAGUUUGUAGCCAAACUUUGGAAUGGGUUUUCGUGUGCAGUGUCUCGGGAAGAUACGGGAUUGCAUCCUUGAGUCCUGCUCUAUCAAGCAUAUCGAUCAUUCUCGCUGCUGCAAUUCAUUGCAAGCUUUGCAAUCCUCAUUGCCUUGAGCUUUAAAGUCGAUUCAUACAAAGUGGUGCUUGACAGGAGGUGUUUUGCUCGUUUUGGCCUCGACAGUGGGAGCUUUGGCUCAAUGGCUUUUGCAGAUCUUUGCUCAAGAUGAUCGAGGCAUCAAGCUUUGCAUGCUUUUAAUGACCGCUCUCGCGAUCCCUCUCGCUAAACCGAUCGUCCGAGCUCUCGUCCAGUGCUACACAUUUGGCGACUCCGCCGCUCAAGCCGUAUCAUUGCUCGUCAAGCACUAUGCGAUGGCCUCUACUUGCGACCUCCUUGAACGUAUUUUCUACGCUCUUGGCGAUCUCGAUUUUACGUGAGCUUGGCUGCCAUCUAACGCUCUCUUGGACUGGCUGCUCGUUGGAAAACUUUGUGGAAACUCUCUCUCUCUCUCUCUCUCUCUCUCUCUCUCGUGCUCCAGGUAAUGGCCACUUCAAUGGCACCGCUACGUAACAUUCUAGAUGGGCCUGACAGCCAAAGCUUUUGGAGAAGCUCACAACACCGGCUCCUCAGAUGAUCAAACUUCCGGUUGCUUCCUUUUGUUGCAGCUUUUAGACGACGGUGCGACCUUGUCAGGCAUCCCAAAAUUUAGCGCAUGACUGUUGCGGAGUUUUCGGAACGGAGUGGAGGCUCCACGCUUGUUGAUGUAAGCUGGUGCCCCAGAAGGAGGCUUUCUUCAAGGUGCUUAAUUCUUCUCACCCAAAAAUUGUGGGUCUUGGCAUGGCU